ACGGAUCUGUGGACCAACGCAGAAUGAUAACCUGGCUGUGGGCGAAUGGAGCCCCAAUGGCUGCCAUUUUACGCCAGCGUUGUAUGCACAUGACGGAGCACAAACCGCGCUGUCAAGCAGAGCCCUCCCACCGCUUCCAAAGUGAAUCCGAUUGGGCGAAAGGCAGGUCCGUUAUUUACAAGCUCCCACUUAAUUGAAUAGUGCUCACGUCUAUCAUUAACGGACCAUGCAAAUCACGCACCUCCCUCACCACAGCGCAGCGUCUCCAGAGGAGACGGAGAUUCUAAUUUAUGCGCCGCAGUGAUUUCUAAUUGGUCAAGCUCUGCGCCCUUCAAAAUCUCCCCUCUUCCCAUUGGUUGUAACUGUCCCGGGGACUUCCUUACGUUUUAUAAAUUCUUUGCCUUUGCCGGCACUCUUUUUGUUCCGAAUCAGCUGCGGCACGGGUAGGGUCUUGGCUGAAGUCCACGUUCAAGUACUUUAUCCGGUAACCCCCCCCCUCCAUUCAUCUUCAAGUAUGGGCAACCCAAAGGUCUUCUUCGACAUCGCCGUUGGCGACAACGUGAUCGGCAGGAUUAUCAUGGAGCUGAGGGCCGAUGUCGUCCCAAAAACUGCA
Lepisosteus oculatus (spotted gar) is the source of this 613-nucleotide non-coding RNA. NCBI's taxonomy places the organism in Eukaryota, Metazoa, Chordata, Actinopteri, Semionotiformes, Lepisosteidae. The record is from RefSeq and is a predicted model, not a curated record.